GGAGACCAAGGUUCGGUGAAGGAAGGAGCACACUCCUGACCCUUGACUUCCCUGGCUCCACUGCAGGCUACCAUCCUUCUAAAUCUUCAGUUUGCUGAAGCAGAGGACGCGUCAUGACAGGACGUGGCCAAGGUUCCCAGCCCACCUGCCACCUGAACCCAGCGCAGAGAGUGGAUGGAUGGAUGUGGACCUGGAAACCCCUACACUGGACAGCUUCUCUAAGACCUUGAGGGAGGGGACCCCCUAGCUCCAGGCUGAUGCAGCAGAUGUCUCAGUCCCUGUGUCCCUGGCACUGCUUUCUGCUUAUUAAAUGCCCGAAACCAGGGUUGGCUGGAAGCCGUCUCAGCAGGGGGAGCGCUCAGCCUUGGGCCCCACUGUCCAGCCCUAGAGUCUUCACUGGCAAAAUGGGUGCAGCCCUAACAGUUCUAACCUCCCGGGGCUGGGAGAAGAGCAGGUGCGUGUGGUCCUGUGACGUGAAAGUCUGAACUCUGUCAUGGGGUGUGGUGUCCCUGGGGCCUGGCUGGGAGCUUGGAGCCCAUCUCACACCCAGCCCCCAACCCCCAGCAGCGCGGUUUUCCACUU
Molecule: long non-coding RNA, 582 nt
Filed under: Canis lupus familiaris (dog)
Lineage: Eukaryota; Metazoa; Chordata; Mammalia; Carnivora; Canidae
Description: lncRNA (ENSCAFG00000041913.2)
Source: RNAcentral